AUGUAUUUGGCGAGUGCCACGAGGCCUGACAUCUCUUUUGCUGUGAGCAAGCUGAGUCGGUUUGUGUCAAAACCGGGAGAUGAUCAUUGGCAUGCGCUUGAGAGAGUUAUGCGCUAUUUGAAAGGCACCGCGAGCUAUGGGAUUCACUACACCGGGUAUCCAAGGGUACUGGAGGGUUAUAGUGACUCAAACUGGAUAUCUGAUGCUGAUGAGAUUAAGGCCACUGUGAUCGUCAAGAUAAACAGUUCUAAGGACAAUAUGAAGUCCUCAAGGCAUGUGAAGAGGAGACUAAAAUCUGUCAGAAAAUUGAGGAACUCCGGAGUUAUUACGUUGGAUUAUAUCCAAACGUCGAAAAACUUGGCAGAUCCUUUCACAAAGGGUCUAUCACGUAAUGUUGAUACUUAUCUUAAUGUGUUCCAAGUGGCUUAUUCGGGUAAGCAG
RNAcentral lists this ribosomal RNA (441 nucleotides) under Triticum aestivum (bread wheat). RNAcentral describes it as "partial small subunit ribosomal RNA". Lineage: Eukaryota; Viridiplantae; Streptophyta; Magnoliopsida; Poales; Poaceae. The record is from RNAcentral.